This 265-nucleotide long non-coding RNA is filed under the name Mytilus galloprovincialis (Mediterranean mussel). Lineage: Eukaryota; Metazoa; Mollusca; Bivalvia; Mytilida; Mytilidae. The record is from RNAcentral.
GCUGCAUGUUUAUCAAAAUUAAAAAAAUUGCGCUAUUUACAGUUUUAUAAAAUUUGGGUCACAUAAUCUCCUUGCAAAAUGAAACAAAUUGCUGUUUUAAAAAAGAGGGGUCCAUGAACUCGUUUUCAAGAUAAAUCAGUUUGAAUGAUAAAAAUCAGUCGAAAACUGCAUCUUUUCCCGAUAAGUCAUAGUUUGACGUCGCGAAAAUAACAAUUUACGUUAACAACGUCAUUACCUCCCCUGUAACUGUAUCGUAUGCCCUUAA